GGAUGUGAGGGCAAUCUGGCUGGGACAUCUGUCACGCCAUCAAGUGCCAGGAUUGAUUUGGCUGAUUGGCUGGCUGGGCUACUUUGGUCCUCCCACAGCUGCAUGCUCAGUUGAUUACCUUCUCCAAUAGAGGAAGACCCUUUUUUGGUGAAGGGUAUGCAAAUAGCUGUGCUCCUCUGCUAGAACCUACAAACGUUCUCAAGAACAGCUUCCAGGCCCCUCGGGUCCCAGCUGGUCAAGGGCAUGCCAGCUUCUGGUUCAGUUUUACCCAGUACCGUACAUGAGGCACAUAGCAUAGUGGCU
Molecule: small nuclear RNA, 303 nt
Filed under: Otolemur garnettii (small-eared galago)
Lineage: Eukaryota; Metazoa; Chordata; Mammalia; Primates; Galagidae
Description: 7SK RNA
Rfam family: 7SK RNA
About the family: 7SK was discovered as an abundant small nuclear RNA in the mid-70s but a possible function has only recently been suggested. Two independent studies have found that 7SK RNA binds the CDK9/cyclin T complex (known as elongation factor P-TEFb).
Source: Rfam by way of RNAcentral